RNAcentral lists this ribosomal RNA (468 nucleotides) under uncultured bacterium. Its description in RNAcentral is "partial 16S ribosomal RNA". It matches the Rfam family "Bacterial small subunit ribosomal RNA", at positions 28 to 507 of the family's 1533-position model. The record is from RNAcentral.
GACGAACGCUGGCGGCGUGCUUAACACAUGCAAGUCGAACGGAAAGGCCCUGCUUUUGUGGGGUGCUCGAGUGGCGAACGGGUGAGUAACACGUGAGUAACCUGCCCUUGACUUUGGGAUAACUUCAGGAAACUGGGGCUAAUACCGGAUAGGAGCUCCUGCUGCAUGGUGGGGGUUGGAAAGUUUCGGCGGUUGGGGAUGGACUCGCGGCUUAGCAGCUUGUUGGUGGGGUAGUGGCUUACCAAGGCUUUGACGGGUAGCCGGCCUGAGAGGGUGACGGGCCACAUUGGGACUUAGGUACGGCCCAGACUCCUACGGGAGGCAGCAGUGGGGAAUAUUGCACAAUGGGCGGAAGCCUGAUGCAGCAACGCCGCGUGCGGGAUGACGGCCUUCGGGUUGUAAACCGCUUUCGCCUGUGACGAAGCGUGAGUGACGGUAAUGGGUAAAGAAGCACCGGCUAACUACGUG